UGGGGGAUAUUGCACAAUGGGCGCAAGCCUGAUGCAGCGACGCCGCGUGGGGGAUGAAGGCCUUCGGGUUGUAAACUUCUUUUGCUCUGAACAAGGCGCACUUUGGGGUGUGUUGAGUGUAGGGGUUGAUUAGCGCCGGCUAAUUACGUGCCAGCAGCCGCGGUAAUACGUAGGGCGCGAGCGUUGUCCGGAAUUAUUGGGCGUAAAGGGCUUGUAGGUGGCUGGUUGCGUCUGUCGUGAAAGCUCAUGGCUUAACUGUGGGUUUGCGGUGGGUACGGGCUGGCUUGAGUGCAGUAGGGGAGGCUGGAAUUCCUGGUGUAGCGGUGGAAUGCGCAGAUAUCAGGAGGAAUACCGGUGGCGAAGGCGGGUCUCUGGGCUGUUACUGACACUGAGGAGCGAAAGCAUGGGGAGCGAACAGG
Molecule: ribosomal RNA, 419 nt
Filed under: bacterium
Lineage: Bacteria
Description: partial 16S ribosomal RNA
Rfam family: Bacterial small subunit ribosomal RNA
Source: RNAcentral